RNAcentral lists this ribosomal RNA (416 nucleotides) under uncultured bacterium. RNAcentral's name for it is "bacterial SSU rRNA". It matches the Rfam family "Bacterial small subunit ribosomal RNA", at positions 355 to 776 of the family's 1533-position model. The record is from RNAcentral.
UGGGGAAUUUUGGACAAUGGACGAAAGUCUGAUCCAGCGACGCCGCGUGGAGGAUGAAGGUUUUCGGAUUGUAAACUCCUUUUACAGGGGACGAACACCCGCAAGGGUUUGACAGUACUCUGUGAAUAAGCCACGGCUAACUACGUGCCAGCAGCCGCGGUAAUACGUAGGUGGCGAGCGUUACUCGGAAUUACUAGGCGUAAAGCGUGUGUAGGCGGGAGCUUAAGUCUGCUGUUAAAUCUCAUAGCUCAACUAUGAAAUGCCGGCAGAUACUGGGCUUCUUGAAUUCGGUAGAGGAAACUGGAAUUCCAGGUGUAGCGGUGAAAUGCGUAGAUAUGCGGAGGAACACCGAUGGCGAAGGCAAUCCCCUGGACCUGUACUGACGCUCAUGCACGAAAGCGUGGGGAGCAAACAGG